This 497-nucleotide ribosomal RNA is filed under the name uncultured bacterium. RNAcentral's name for it is "partial 16S ribosomal RNA". It matches the Rfam family "Bacterial small subunit ribosomal RNA", at positions 28 to 507 of the family's 1533-position model. The record is from RNAcentral.
GAUGAACGCUGGCGGCGUGCCUAAUACAUGCAAGUCGAGCGAACAGACCAUAAGCUUUCUCCUCUGACGUUAGCGGCGGACGGGCGAGUAACACAUGGAUAACCAACCUAUAAUACGGGGAUGACUUCGGGAAACCGGAUCUAAUACUGGAGAAUAUAUUGAACCGCAGGGUGCAAUAGUGCAACAGGGCUUGGGUGCUACUUAUAGACGGAGCCGCGCCGGAUUAGCUAGUUGGUAAGGUAACGGCUUACCAAGGCAACGAUGCGUAGCCGACCUGAGAGGAUGAUCAGCCACACUGGAACUGAGACACGGUCCAGACUCCUACGGGAGGCAGCAGUAGGGAAUCUUCCGCAAUGGGCGAAAGCCUGACGCAGCCAUGCCGCGUGAGUGAUGAAGGCCUUCGGGUCGUAAAACUCUGUUAUUAGGGAAGAAAAAAUGUGUAUGUAACCCUGCACGUCCUGACGGUACCUAAUCAAUAAGCCCCGGCUAACUACGUG